This 422-nucleotide ribosomal RNA is filed under the name uncultured bacterium. RNAcentral describes it as "partial 16S ribosomal RNA". It matches the Rfam family "Bacterial small subunit ribosomal RNA", at positions 360 to 774 of the family's 1533-position model. The record is from RNAcentral.
AAUAUUGGACAAUGGUGGCAACUCUGAUCUAGCCAUGCCGCGUGUGUGAAGAAGGCUUUCGGUUUGUAAAGCACUUUAAGUUGGGAGGAAGGUCUUUAGGUUACUUCCCUGAAAGUCUGACGUUACCAACAGUAUAAGCACCGGCUUACUCUGUUGCAGCAGCCGUGGUAAUACAGAGGGGGCAAGCGUUAAUCGGAAUGACUGGGCGUAAAGAGCGCGUAGGGGGUUCAGUAAGAUGGGUGUGAAAGCCCCGGGCUUAACCUGGGAAAUGCUUUCAUAACUGCUGAGCUAGAGUACGGUAGAGGGUAGUGGAAUUUCCUGUGUAGCGGUGAAAUGCGUAGAUAUAGGGAGGAACACCAGUGGCGAAGGCGACUACCUGGACUGAUACUGACACUGAGGUGCGAAAGCGUGGGGAGCAAACA